UCUCUGGCAGUCCAGUGGUUAAGACUCUGUGCUUCCAAUGCAGGGGCCUGGGUUCAAUUCCUGGUCCAAGAA
This 72-nucleotide transfer RNA is filed under the name Capra hircus (goat). It matches the Rfam family "tRNA". Rfam says of the family: Transfer RNA (tRNA) molecules are approximately 80 nucleotides in length. Their secondary structure includes four short double-helical elements and three loops (D, anti-codon, and T loops). Further hydrogen bonds mediate the characteristic L-shaped molecular structure. tRNAs have two regions of fundamental functional importance: the anti-codon, which is responsible for specific mRNA codon recognition, and the 3' end, to which the tRNAs corresponding amino acid is attached (by aminoacyl-tRNA synthetases). tRNAs cope with the degeneracy of the genetic code in two manners: having more than one tRNA (with a specific anti-codon) for a particular amino acid; and 'wobble' base-pairing, i.e. permitting non-standard base-pairing at the 3rd anti-codon position. The record is from Rfam by way of RNAcentral. RNAcentral also lists the same sequence under 1 other name. Lineage: Eukaryota; Metazoa; Chordata; Mammalia; Artiodactyla; Bovidae.